AAUGUGGAGCCGUAGCGAAAGCGAGUCUGAAUAGGGCGUUUAGUAUUUGGUCGUAGACCCGAAACCAGGUGAUCUACCCUUGGUCAGGUUGAAGUUCAGGUAACACUGAAUGGAGGACCGAACCGACUUACGUUGAAAAGUGAGCGGAUGAACUGAGGGUAGCGGAGAAAUUCCAAUCGAACCUGGAGAUAGCUGGUUCUCUCCGAAAUAGCUUUAGGGCUAGCCUCAAGUGAUGAUUAUUGGAGGUAGAGCACUGUUUGGACGAGGGGCCCCUCUCGGGUUACCGAAUUCAGACAAACUCCGAAUGCCAAUUAAUUUAACUUGGGAGUCAGAACAUGGGUGAUAAGGUCCGUGUUCGAAAGGGAAACAGCCCAGACCACCAGCUAAGGUCCCAAAAUAUAUGUUAAGUGGAAAAGGAUGUGGCGUUGCCCAGACAACUAGGAUGUUGGCUUAGAAGCAGCCAUCAUUUAAAGAGUGCGUAAUAGCUCACUAGUCGAGUGACACUGCGCCGAAAAUGUACCGGGGCUAAACAUAUUACCGAAGCUGUGGAUUGUCCUUUGGACAAUGGUAGGAGAGCGUUCUAAGGGCGUUGAAGCAUGAUCGUAAGGACAUGUGGAGCGCUUAGAAGUGAGAAUGCCGGUGUGAGUAGCGAAAGACGGGUGAGAAUCCCGUCCACCGAUUGACUAAGGUUUCCAGAGGAAGGCUCGUCCGCUCUGGGUUAGUCGGGUCCUAAGCUGAGGCCGACAGGCGUAGGCGAUGGAUAACAGGUUGAUAUUCCUGUACCACCUAUAAUCGUUUUAAUCGAUGGGGGGACGCAGUAG
This is a ribosomal RNA of 821 nucleotides. It matches the Rfam family "Bacterial large subunit ribosomal RNA", at positions 657 to 1480 of the family's 2925-position model.